Molecule: ribosomal RNA, 399 nt
Filed under: uncultured beta proteobacterium
Lineage: Bacteria; Pseudomonadati; Pseudomonadota; Betaproteobacteria
Description: bacterial SSU rRNA
Rfam family: Bacterial small subunit ribosomal RNA
Source: RNAcentral
GAGUUUGAUCAUGGCUCAGAUUGAACGCUGGCGGCAUGCUUUACACAUGCAAGUCGAACGGCAGCACGGGGGCAACCCUGGUGGCGAGUGGCGAACGGGUGAGUAACGCAUCGGAACAUGCCCAGUAGUGGGGGAGUAAACACAUCGAAAGAUGUGCUAAUACCGCAUAACGCAACUGAGGUGGAAAGCGGGGGAUCGCAAGACCUCGCGCUAUUGGAGUGGCCGAUGUCCGAUUAGCUAGUUGUGGGGUAAUGGCCUACCAAGGCGACGGAUCGGUAGCUGGUCUGAGAGGAUGAUCAACCACACUGGGACUGAGACACGGCCCAGACUCCUACGGGAGGCAGCAGUGGGGAAUUUUGGACAAUGGGCGCAAGCCUGAUCCAGCCAUGCCGCGUGAGU